CUCUCAGCGUUGACUACGCAGUCAGGUUAAUGAAACUUUGGGCAUUUUGUAGUUUUACAUGCAUAUUACCUCAGAAUCCACACCAAAGAAAGGCACAGAUAAGCAACUUGUCUGAUAUCAUUUGCUGCAAUGUCUGAUAUUCAAGGUUCCUGUCGUAUACAAAAGCCUUCCGUGACCGUUCCAUUUACACUUCUCCUAGGACUUGUGAGAGUCGGAGCUGGUCUGCUGGCAAUGAACUUCUCGGCUGCUCCUGUUGGUCACUGUGGCUCUUUUGCUCCUGUGGAUAGAUCCCCAGCCUGCAGAUGCUGAAAACCAGACUGGAUUUGUCGCUCAGAGCACACCUCCCUCCUCCCACGCACGUGGUCUCCACCGCACAUGUGCGGGUACAGAUGGGAACCGUCUCUGCAAACAAACUGAAGAUGAUUCAAGAGUCAUUCUAAUGAGCAGUGAAUGUGGCCUGAUUACUGCAUUCGCAAAAAACCUUAUUUUUUUUCCCCCCCAACAUUGCAAAGCUUGGCCCAGGGCCUCCUCAUAGGCUUACAAAUUUGCUGAAGUCUUCUUAGAGUCUUUCCUGAAGUCUAAGUGUGAUGAGAGCAGAGGUACCUCCGUUUCAUCACUGCAUCCUGGGCACCUAGUGGACCUGGCAAGGUGCAGCCCUAUGAGGGCUGCACCUGCGGCAUUGGAGCUGCAGCUGCUAGCCUACGCCAGAGCCACAGCAGUGCCAGAUCCGAGCCGUGUCUGUGACCUACACCACACGGCAAUGCUGGAUCCUUAACCCAACAGAGCGAGGCCAGGGAUGGAACCUGCAACCUCAUGGUUCCUAGUCAGAUUCAUUUCCGCUGCGCCAGGAUGGGAGCUCCUGAUAGAAUAUUUAUAAAAGGAGCACUGCAUCCCCAAAGUACAAUGGAAUUAUUAUUGCUAUGAUGAUAAAGCUUUGCACAGAGAGCAAAAUGAUGUGUUUCAGAUUGUUGGGUCAAGACGUUUUGCUUAUUGUCCCAGCUUUGCAACCAGAUAGUUGUGUGGCUUUGAUAAUAGCAGCAGGAAUUAAGAUUUAUUUAGCUCUCAUUAUAUACCAGGUUCUGAGCUCAGGGCUUUCACGCCCUGGCCCAUCCAGUCAUUGGAAACCCUGCCACUCUCUGGGUUUGUGCCUUCAGCAGCCGGGGCAGGGAUUCUAGGAUGCUCAUGCUCUGGUCUUCGAGACUGUGGGGGAAGCUCAGCCCUUUUCGAAGUGCCUGGAAGACUGGCCUUCCAGAACCCGCCUUAGAAUUCGCUCUCCCUGCCUCCUCUGACGUCCUGUCAUUGGCAUCAGCGGUGUUCCCAAGGUGUCCAGUGGCGCAGCUCGAGACAAACCCGAGCAGUGAGCUGAUGGCCACGUGCUCUGCAGAGUGACUUCAUCGGCGGGCAAGGUCUGAAGAGGAGUCACUUUGGCGGCUCCGGUUCCCGUCGCUAUGACUCCUCACUAGAGACACUAAGAGGCACGUGGGCUGGGAGGGCACAGACCGCGCGGGCUGUUUCUGUCAACUGAGCCACAGAAGGGAACCACACGGCCCCAAGGCUGACCUCAGCCGACCACAGGGGCCAGCUCUCAGGAGGGACCGUGGGGACAGCAGGAGCUGGGUUUCCGCUUUCUCACAGGAAGGCUCAGUUGAUCUCCUGGGGACCCACAGGGGCCUUGCUGAGCGGGGGUGACUCAGCUUCCUCUGUGCCCCGGCAGAGCAGGAGGACCCUGGCAACCCGGGGCUCCUUUCGCCUGUGCGCCCCCCUCUGCUUCCUGCUCUAGAAAACCUCCCGUAAUUAUCCAAGUCUCUGUUGACCAGAAGGUUUUUUGAAAAAACCAGUUUGUGUUUCACAUUUCAGCAGCAUUUGUCACCUUACAACAAUCGUUUUCUCAGACAUUGGUUCAUCCAGUGUUCACAGCAGUCCUGAGACUUUAGGGAAGCCAUUGUCCUCACUGCUACAUCUAUAAGGAAGGUGAGACUCAGCCAGAGAAGGGGAUUGGCUGAGGCCAUGUGGCUUAUGGGCGGAGAGUUCAUGCUUGAGCCCAGGAGUCUAGAAUACUCAUUGAGGACCUUAUUUCACUUUCUUGGGUGGCACUCAGCUUAUAGCCCUUAUCAUGUGCUCAUUAUGUGUACAAUGGUUGUUGAUUGAAUGGUUGAUUGUAAUUUUCAUCCAUGGUGAGAUGGAUCCUUUGGGCUCUAAGCAAGUUACCAUGGGGGUAGUGGGAAGGACAUGGGCCUUGGAGAGACAGUUCAGGUUCAAGUUACACAAGACUCACGUUAGCUACGUGCUUUUAGGUAAGGUACAAAUUCUUUAAGCUGCAGUUUCCUCUGCACACAGAGGAUAAUGGUAGUUUUUCAGGGCAGCUCUAAGAUUGAAAUGAGAUAAAAUGGAUCAAGGGAUGGCACAGUGUUUGCUGUAUAGAAGGUGUGUAGCAAUGCACUUUUCCAUUGCUUAGCUUCAGAAACUCAUGAGAGUUAAACAAAUCCUGCAGAUAUUUUCAUUACAUACAGAACAAUGCCUUUGCUUAGUAAUCUUUGAGAAAUUAAGGACACACAUGUACAAAGCAAAUGAAGUCUGGUCCUGGUUCAUUAAGUCACUAUAAUUGAGAAAUGAGGUAUCCCUUAUAUGUGAAUUUCCCAGCUCGUACCCCCAGUUCUGGGUUCCAAGAUUUGUCACCCUUUCUUUUGACUUAUUUUAGGAGGAUAACAUGUCUAGCCUUGUGAAUCCUUUGCACUAACCAUUCUCUGUUUCGUGUUUCUUGCUUCUCACUGGAUGAUUUGACUUUCAUUGCCCUUUGCUCUUAUUAACUGCAAAGAGUCACAGAGACACUUGUCAUGGUGAGGAAGUGGCAUGGGGUCUGAGAUUUUAGACUUGGAAAUAAUGCUUCUAUUUCAAGAAAAUGCGUAAGCAAUCAUGAUGCAAUUUCUUUAAAAAAUGCCCUUGAUUUCAGAGUUCCCAUCAUGGCUCAGGGGAAACGAAUCUGACUAGCAUCCAUGAGGAUGCAGGUUUGAUCCCUGGACUCACUCGGUGGGUUAAGGAUCCGCCAGUGUUGUGAGCUGUGGUGUAGGUUGCAGAUGUGGCUCGGAUCCCACAUUGCUGUGGCUGUGGUGUAGGCCAGCGACCACAGCUCCUAUUAGACUCCUAGCCUGGGAACCUCCAUAUGCCAAGGGUGCAGCCCUAAAAGACCCCCCCCCCGAAAAAAAUGCCGUUGAUUUCACCAAUUGGAUGUUUUCCAUGAUUUAAUUUUUCUUUGAAGUUGAGUACGUGUCCAGGUGAGGUUGAACCUAUUGGUGUUGACGCAUUAGAUUUCGCAUUCUUAUAGCCAGGAAUGAUGUUUCAGUCAUCACCAUGGAUCCAGGGCCAGGAGCAUCCUAGAUUCUCAAUGGAUGCUUCCUGAAUGAGCAAGUGUCAGGCGUUCAUUCAUUUAUUCUACAGAAAGAGGCUGUGGACCGUCCCAAGUUAUUUUCCAGGUGGGCAGGACCAUCUGCCGCUUUUAGGAGCUCACGGCAGGCAUGUUAUUCAAGGAGACCAGCCUGAGAGGAGAGUGUGACUCCCCACAGAGGAGAGACUGGGUCAGGGCAUGAGAUCAGGCAGAGAAGGGGGCAAGCAGAGGGCACCGUGGUCCAAGGCAGAGUGCUCAAGGGGUGGCUGCGAUGAAUCAAGCCUCCUCUCUGGGUGUUGGUUGUGUGAUAUCAGAGAGGGACCCACUGUCUCGAACAGCCCCACCAAUUGCUAGCAUGGAGAGCCUGGCAAGGAGGGCGGCCUCUGGCCAAUCAAGACAAGUCUCACAGGACAAAUACAUCCCACGUCACACCUAGGCUGGGGGCCGGUGUGAUGAGCGUCUGCAGAGAACUAGGGAUUUUGUGAUCUUUUCUGCUAAUGGGGACUUUCAACGUGAAGCAGCCUCUGCUGGACGGAGCACGAAGGCCGUAAUCACUUCUGGGGAGAGGCUGACUUUGUGGUUUAGUGACCCUUUCCAGGGCCUCCUUCACUAUUCUUUCUUGAUAAAGAGGAUUGUAAUAAUGCAAAAUAAUUGGAGUUUUUCUUUUCAGAGUUACACUGUGGAGAGGAAGUGGGAGAGUAUGUUUGAAGGCAUAGCCAUGAUCUAUAGAGUUGUUUUCUUUUUGUUUCUUUAGGACAUUUUACUGAGCACCUGUCCUGUGCUGGUCUUGAGUUGGGCGUGGCAUGCAAAGAUGGGCAAAGAUCUGCCCCUUCACUUUAAGGAUCUCCCAGUAGUGGAAGAAAGUGAUUCAUAAGGAAUGACAAUGCAUCCUGAUGAGUACUGAGGGGAGACAGAUGAAAGAGGGCAGAGGAAGGAGUGAUUAAUUACGCUGUUAGCAGUCAGGGAAGCCUCACAAAAGAUGUGAGGGGUUUUUAGGGAUGAAUAGGAGUUUUUGGGUGGAGAAGAAGAAAGUAGCAUCUCAGCUAGUAAAAAUGGCAUGAAUAAUUACACAAGGACAACACAUUCACAGUUUGGGAAAUAAUGAUUGGAGAAGUAUAGCUGGGGCUGUGUUGUCUGAUCAAACACAGGCAGCGCAGUUAGAUGUGUAUUUCAGAUAGACAAUGAAUAUGUUUUAGCAAGAGCAUGUCCCAAAUACUGCACGAGUUAUGCUUAUACUGAGAACAUUAUUUAUUCUUUAUCCUAGGUUCAGUUUUCAUUGGGCAUCCUCUACUUUUGUUUGCUAAAUCUGGUGACCCUAGGCUGGAGUACUGUAGCAGAUGAGACUGUAUUACAGAGGCCUUUGAAAGUCAUUCUCAAACGUUUUGACUUCAGUCUCAUGGGGUGGUCUUGGAAGGUUUUUAAACUGAGAUGUGAUAUCAUCAGAUUUUCUGUAUUACUCAUGCUUCAUGGAGGAUGAGCUAGAAAGGGAGGAACUGGAAGCAAGGACUUUGAUCUAAAUAGAGAGAAAAGGGGGUUUUGAACCAGGGUAGAAAUCAAGAGAUCCUCGGGCAACAAGCUCCAGAGAUGUUUUGCACAUGGAAGCCACAGGCUUUGCUGAGAAAGGCUGAGUGUUUGUGCUGGCAACCCUUUCUUGUUGCAAGCUCGGUAUGUUUGUCCUUAAAAGCUUAUGACCUUCCAAACUUUCACUCCCAAUAGUCUUGGGAUGAGAGCCCCUCUGGAGACUGGAAUUCUGUGCCAUUAAGCACAUGGCUCAGCGCUUAAUUUCUUUAAAAUAUAUACUCAGGCUAAAUGCUGAGCCAGAUAAUCCCAACCUGAUUAAGUGGCCAAGUCCACGCUCGGUACAGGUGGAAACAUUUAGUGCCAUAGCUUUAGAAGGGUCCAUGAAAAAGAAUGUCUUCCAUAUUUUAUUAGGAGAGAUUUAUUUUUCAAAAGAUGUAUUUUGGAAAGGGAAGGACAGUGUUUAUUUCUGAGAUUAAAUAUACCUCCAAGGUUAUAGAAGAUAUUUGCAUUUUGUAGACUUGUGACUGAGAACUCAUAGAAUCGUGUUCGAAGUCACUUUGUUACUUUCCUCCUGUUAAAGCUGGAGAAGCUGCAACCCAGAAGAGACGUGACCAGCUUGGGUGGCAGAACUUGGAUGUGGGUAGAGGAUUUGUGACAUCCAGUUAAAAUGCAAUAGGAAUUCUCUGAACAUUUAGCAUUUGGAAAUAGCACAAUUCUUUUUCCCUGUAACUCCCAAAUUACAAAGAAUUUCUCCUUGAGAUUUUUCAAUUUGAACGAGAGUAUUAACAUGAGUUUUUUAAAAGAGAGUUUCAUGAAAUUGUGUCAUUGAGAAUAACCACAUCUUAUUCCUAUUGACAGCCCCUUUGAAAGAGAUUGACCCAGCCUGAUUCCUGAAGAUUGUCAAAGUUUUUGAAACUUGGAAAAAGGAGAGUUUAUAUAAGUAGGAAAUAAUUGUUAUUUGUUGAAUGCAUUCUCAGCUGCAGGAUUCUGACAUUUUGGCAAAGGCAGGCUUUCCUUUCGAUAGAGCAACUUUCAGAGCCAAAGUUGUGUUUAAAAAGAAUAAAGCAAAAAGUACUAUAGUUACAUUUCCAAGAUGAAAUGUCUUUCCUUCUUAGAACUCGGAGGAGUGCUGUCUGCCUCUGCUUCAUUAAUUCCGGAGAGACCUUCUCUGCUAGAAUGUUCCAAGGUAACUCCUCAUUCAGGUUUGAGGGAUUUGCUCCCUAUAAAAAGACUUACCAAAAUCCUCCCUCCUUUUCCUCAGCAGUGAGAUACUGCGAUCAAACUGGCCUAGAGCUUGAAUUAGCCACUCCAAAUUCAAUCCUAAUAGAUACCUAGAAAAUUUGCUUUUCUUUCUUUCCUUUUUCUUCUUUUUUCUUUUUCUUUUUCUUUUUUUAAAACAGCAGGACCUGUGGUAUAUAGAAGUCCCCGGGCUAAGGGGCAAAUCAGAUCUUCAGCUGCUGGCCUACACCACAGCCACAGCAAUGCCAGAUCCUUAACCCACUCAGGGAGGCCAGGGAUUGAACCCACAUCCUCAAAGACACUAUGUUGGGUUCUUAACUCCCUGAAUCACAAUGGGAACUCCUGAUUUAUUUUGUUUCUAAUAUCUCAGUCCCUGGAAAUCUUCUCUUAUGAGGGGCACCUUCCAGCCCCUUCUGAGGCAGGGAGGGUUGGGAGAAGCAAAGGGGCCCCGGGGGCAUGUCCUGUACUGGCGUCGCUUCCCAACCAUAGACCUUUUCCUGGCACUGCCCUUCGCCUUCCUGGGGAUUUGGCACAUCCUCUCUUCCCUGUUAAUAUUGACAAAAAGUAUUACAAACCUCUAAGUGCUAAUCGCCAGAUGAGGCAUGUAGACAGUUAGGGCUCUCGAAUAUCCCUUAGGGACGGCCUACAGUAUAAGCUCGAAAUAAGCUGGUUCACCAUCUCCCAGGCCUCUGCCCACCUCGCCGCCCACACCUGCCCUCCCAGGUCCCCUUCCUGUCCCUCAUCUACUUAUUUAGCAGCGUGUCUUGAGGCUCUUCCAUGUGCCAGGCCCGGGGCAUGGCAAUGAACCAGACCAGGAGCUCUGGCCAAAUAUUUCUUCCACUGGGUUUACUCACCCCAAGAGCCCCCGUUCUUGUUACAGUGUGAAUUCUAUGAGGAUUUAACAAUUUUCCCUUUUCAUUUGAUAGCCAUCUGAAAAAUUAACAUAAAAGCCACAUCCUUAACCCCCCGAGUGAGGCCAGGGCUCGAACCCUCACCCUCACAGUGACAACCUCAGGCACUUAUCCCACUGAGCCACAACAGGAACUCCACCUUAAAGCCAUUCUACUGCAGGAUCUUGAUGUCUGGGUUUACACUUGUAUCACUGAGCACGUUAGAGCCAGGGAUGCUUCAGCUGUUGGUCAACUUUUGGAGCACUGUCCCUCAGGCUGGGGGUCCGGGGACAUAUCCUUGAGCUCUGAUGGUGUCCUUUUCCUCUAAACGGGUUUCGCAUAUUUCUCAGGUUUAACAAGCACUGGUCUAGUAGCAGCACCAGAACGGUUGCCUGUAGCCAUGAGGCUCUUCCCCAACUUGGGUCACGCAGGUCUCACGGGAGGCAGGAGAAACGGUGCCCUGAAGAGGUCCUGCCCCAAUGCCUGUGAAUGUGCUACGUUACACGUAGAGAGAGCUGGUCUUUUGGGGAGAUCCUCCUGCGUUACCUGGUGUGCCCGAUGUGAUCCAGUGGAUCCUUCAAAGUAGAAGAGGUAUAUACACCCCAGAGAGUUAAAAACAGGUACUCCCACAACUACGGGUCCAUGUGUGGUCACACCUGCCCUGGUCACAAUCGUCAAAAGGUAGUCAUAGCCAGUGUCCGGGAACAGAUGCCUGGAUGAACAAAAUGCAGUGUAUAUAUGCAGUGAAAUAUUAUCCAGACAUAGAAAGGCAUGAAGUACUUAUACUUAGUACCACACCAAGGAACCUCUAAAACAUUAUCCUAGAUGAAGGAAGCCAGACGCCGAGGUCACACGUUGUAUGGUUUCAUGCAUAUGAAAUAUCCAGCACAGGUGCAUCCAGUGAGACAGAAAGCAGGUUGGUGUUGCCACGGGCUUGGGGGCAAGGGGAAUGGGGAAUAACCGCUCAAUGGGUGAAGGUCCUACUUGGGAGUUGUUCU
RNAcentral lists this long non-coding RNA (8030 nucleotides) under Sus scrofa (pig). RNAcentral's name for it is "lncRNA (ENSSSCG00040065406.1)". The record is from RNAcentral. Lineage: Eukaryota; Metazoa; Chordata; Mammalia; Artiodactyla; Suidae.